RNAcentral lists this ribosomal RNA (253 nucleotides) under uncultured bacterium. RNAcentral's name for it is "partial 16S ribosomal RNA". It matches the Rfam family "Bacterial small subunit ribosomal RNA", at positions 524 to 776 of the family's 1533-position model. The record is from RNAcentral.
UACGGAGGGUGCGAGCGUUGUUCGGAAUCACUGGGCGUAAAGCGCGUGUAGGCGGCCUCCUCAGUCUGGUGUGAAAGCCCGGGGCUCACCCCCGGAAGUGCAUUGGAUACUGGGAGGCUGGAGUACCGGAGAGGAGGGUGGAAUUCCUGGUGUAGCGGUGAAAUGCGUAGAUAUCAGGAGGAACACCGGUGGCGAAGGCGGCCCUCUGGACGGAUACUGACGCUGAGACGCGAAAGCGUGGGGAGCAAACAGG